AGCGAACGCUGGCGGCAGGCCUAAUACAUGCAAGUCGAACGAAGCCUUCGGGCUUAGUGGCGGACGGGUGAGUAACACGUGGGAACGUACCCUUUGGUUCGGAACAACUCAGGGAAACUUGAGCUAAUACCGAAUGAGCCCCCAUCCUUGAACAAGAUGGGUGGAAAGAUUUAUCGCCAUUGGAGCGGCCCGCGUCUGAUUAGCUAGUUGGUGGGGUAAAGGCCCACAAGGCUACGAUCAGAGCUGGUCUGAGAGGAUGAUCAGCCACACUGGGACUGAGACACGGCCCAGACUCCUACGGGAGGCAGCAGUAGGGAAUCUUGCGCAAUGGGCGAAAGCCUGACGCAGCCAUGCCG
RNAcentral lists this ribosomal RNA (356 nucleotides) under uncultured bacterium. RNAcentral's name for it is "bacterial SSU rRNA". It matches the Rfam family "Bacterial small subunit ribosomal RNA", at positions 29 to 399 of the family's 1533-position model. The record is from RNAcentral.